Molecule: ribosomal RNA, 314 nt
Filed under: uncultured eukaryote
Lineage: Eukaryota
Description: partial 18S ribosomal RNA
Rfam family: Eukaryotic small subunit ribosomal RNA
Source: RNAcentral
CCCUUAGAUGUUCUGGGCCGCACGCGCGCUACACUGACGAAUGCAACGAGCUUAUAACCUUGGCCGAAAGGUUUGGGUAAUCUCCAAAUUUCGUCGUGAUGGGGAUAGAUUAUUGCAAUUAUUAAUCUUCAACGAGGAAUGCCUAGUAAGCGCAAGUCAUCAACUUGCAUUGAUUACGUCCCUGCCCUUUGUACACACCGCCCGUCGCACCUACCGAUUGAAUGGUCCGGUGAAGCCUCCGGAUUGGCGCGCACCUCGGUGCCGCCGAGAAGUUGGCUAAACCUUACCAUUUAGAGGAAGGUGAAGUCGUANCA